UUUCAGAUGACGAGUCCCAAAUAGGACGAAAUGCGAAUCCUGGAU
Molecule: non-coding RNA, 45 nt
Filed under: Trichobilharzia regenti
Lineage: Eukaryota; Metazoa; Platyhelminthes; Trematoda; Strigeidida; Schistosomatidae
Source: RNAcentral